ACCCGUUGAUCCUGCGGGAAGUUGCUGCUAUUUGGGUUCGACUAAGCCAUGCAAGCACGGACUUUUUAGAAGUACCGGCAUAUCGCUCAGUAACACGUCGAUAAUCUAACCUUAAGUUCAGAAUAACUUCGGGAAACUGAAGGUAAUACUGAAUAUGGGAAAGGUAUUGGAAUAUCCUUUUCCUUUAAAAGUGAUGCUUAAGGAUGAGUCGGCGGCGAAUUAGGUUGUUGGUGAGGUAAAGGCUCACCAAGCCGAAGAUUUGUAGGGGCCUUGAGAGAGGGAGCCCCGAGAAGGGCACUGAGAUACUGGCCCUAGCCCUACGGGGUGCAGCAGGCGCGAAACCUUUACAAUGCACGAAAGUGUGAUAAGGGAACCCAAAGUGCUUCACUUUGUGAGGCUUUUGCCAAGAGUAAAUAUCUUGGAGAAUAAGUGGUGGGUAAGACUGGUGCCAGCCGCCGCGGUAAUACCAGCGCCACGAGUGGGAACUAUUAUUAUUGGGCCUAAAGCGUCCGUAGCCUGUUUAAUAAAUUUCUUGUGAAAUUAUUAGGCUCAACCUAAUAACGUGCAGGAAAGACUGUUAGACUUGGGACUGGGAGGGGCCAGAAGUAUCUGUGGGGUAGCGGUAAAAUGUUAUAAUCCUAUGGGGACUACCAAUGGCGAAGGCAUCUGGCCAGAACAGGUCCGACGGUGAGGGACGAAAGCUAGGGGAGCAAACCGGAUUAGAUACCCGAGUAGUCCUAGCUGUAAACGCUGCGAGCAAGAUGUUGCGCAUUCUUCGGGAAUGUGCAGUAUCGAAGAGAAGUCGUUAAGCUCGCCGCCUGGGAAGUAUGGUCGCAAGACUGAAACUUAAAGGAAUUGGCGGGGGAGCACUACAAAGGGUGCGGCGUGCGGUUUAAUCUAACUCAACGCAGAGAAUCUCACCAGAAGCGACGGCAGAAUGAAAGUCAGAUUAAAGGUUUUACUUGACGAGCCGAGAGGUAGUGCAUGGCCGCCGUCAGCUCGUUCCGUAAGGUGUCCUGUUAAGUCAGGCAACGAGCGAGACCUGUGCCUACAAUUGCCAGCAGCAGAAUUUCUGGACUGGGCACAUUGUAGGAACUGCCCUGGAAACAGGGAGGAAGGUGCAGGCUACGGUAGGUCUGUAUGCUCCGAAUCUUCUGGGCUACACGCGCGCAACAAUGGUAGAGACAAUGGGAUGCAACUCCGAAAGGAGAAGCUAAUCCUCUAAACUCUAUCUUAGUUCAGAUUGAGGAUUGUAACUCAUCCUCAUGACGCUGGAAUCCCUAGUAACCAGGUCUUAUCAUGGCCCGGUGAAUAUGUCCCUGCUCCUUGCACACACUGCCCGUCAAAUCAACCGAGUUGAGCUUAGAUGAGACUUAAUUUCUUGAUUAAGGCGAAUCUGGGCUUAGUGAGGUGGGUUAAGUCGUCACAAGGUC
This 1433-nucleotide ribosomal RNA is filed under the name metagenome. RNAcentral describes it as "bacterial SSU rRNA". It matches the Rfam family "Archaeal small subunit ribosomal RNA". The record is from RNAcentral.